CCCCUUUGAAAAGCACUCACUGGGCCAAGCACUCAAUGACCCCCUGAGCCGUCAAGAAAGGGCAACGUAAAAACCCCGCUUUUGGGAGAGGUGGCAGAGGUGUUGUUUCGCUUCAAUCAGCGGUGUGACAAGG
Molecule: small nucleolar RNA, 133 nt
Organism: Artibeus jamaicensis (Jamaican fruit-eating bat)
Lineage: Eukaryota; Metazoa; Chordata; Mammalia; Chiroptera; Phyllostomidae
Source: RefSeq, a predicted model, not a curated record